This is a non-coding RNA of Ictidomys tridecemlineatus (thirteen-lined ground squirrel), 294 nucleotides long. The record is from RefSeq and is a predicted model, not a curated record. Lineage: Eukaryota; Metazoa; Chordata; Mammalia; Rodentia; Sciuridae.
CAAAUAUCCAAGAGGUUUCUUUCACUAAAGCUCACAGGAAUAUGCUGGUGACAAGGGCCUGCUUCACUAAAAAAGUACAGCCAGGCGGAAAAUGCAGAAGGGAAUCAUAGUUUAAUAGAAUGAGUAUUUCUCUGCUGCUCUGAAAAUGUGCCCCAGACCCAUUUCUCACUUCUUGGAACAAACAUUGGGAUUCAAAUUUUUAUGACUUACACGAACACUGAAUUGUCACAUCUCCAAUUAAAUGAGGGACACUGUCACAAUGAUUUAAAAAAUAAAAAUCAAGACUCCAUUGUA